GGGGCCGUUUAGGAUUCGACGCCGGUUGCGAAACUCUAGGUGCAUGCCGAGUUGGUAACAGAACUCGUAAAUCCACUGUUGCAACUUUCUAUAGUUGCCAAUGACGAAACCUACGAGGGUCAAGCUCUCGCAGCGUAAGCUGCCUUAGCCAUCCUCCUGGCACCUUCGGGUCCAGCAAUCACUAGGGGAUGCCUGUAAACCUGAAGUGAUUGUCAUAUAGAACAGGAUCGCCGUGCAGUACGUUGUGGACGAAGCGGCUAAAACUUACACAACUCGCCCAAAGCACCCUGCCCUUCGGGUCGCUGAGGGUUAACUUAAUAGAAACGGCUAAGCAUGUAGUACCGACAGCGGAGUACUGGCGGACGGGGGUUCAAAUCCCCCCGGCUCCACCA
This 392-nucleotide transfer-messenger RNA is filed under the name Pseudomonas lundensis. It matches the Rfam family "transfer-messenger RNA". From Rfam's summary of the family: Bacterial tmRNA, also known as 10Sa RNA or SsrA, is named for its dual tRNA and mRNA-like properties. Its role is to liberate the mRNA from a stalled ribosome. To accomplish this part of the tmRNA is used as a reading frame that ends in a translation stop signal. Lineage: Bacteria; Pseudomonadati; Pseudomonadota; Gammaproteobacteria; Pseudomonadales; Pseudomonadaceae. RNAcentral also lists the same sequence under 4 other names. The record is from RNAcentral.